Small nucleolar RNA from Beta vulgaris subsp. vulgaris (sugar beet), 104 nucleotides. It matches the Rfam family "Plant small nucleolar RNA R71". Rfam says of the family: R71 is a member of the C/D box family of snoRNAs containing the C (UGAUGA) and D (CUGA) box motifs. Multiple nearly identical copies of this snoRNA have been identified in Arabidopsis, and it is thought to function as a 2'-O-ribose methylation guide for 18S ribosomal RNA. NCBI's taxonomy places the organism in Eukaryota, Viridiplantae, Streptophyta, Magnoliopsida, Caryophyllales, Amaranthaceae. The record is from Rfam.
AAACCAUGAGGAGGACGAAGACGUUGUAGAUCCUUGAACCUCUCCCAAGCUUCAUAGAAGGACUCACCAUCGUCUUGGGUGAAAGUGACUAUGGCAUGUCGUAU